UUGCCCUCCCACUAAAUGUGUUUAACUUCAAUCGUUCAGUUUUGAUAUAGUAUUCCCUUAAAAACUAAUAAUAUUAAGAGAAUACUAAGUGUGCACGGGUGAUGUACGCAGCUCUCCUUUGGAACAAAUUGGACUACUAAUCUUACACGUCAUAUGAUUAUUAAUCGCGCAAUUGAUUACGUUAUGUGGUUGGAGAUUUGGACAUACUUGGUUAAAAUCCAGUCACACCUCAUAUAUGAAUAUCUAUGUAACGUUUAUUUUUUUUUUAUAAAGAUAUUUUCGCCCCGUCUAUUUAAAAAAAAAUUUGGUUUGAUUAUGUUUUGACCUGCCAGACUGACUGCUAGAGAAGAUUGUAGUAUGGAUAUUGGAUCGGUUGCAGUGGGGUGGGUCAGGCUUUAGUGGAUAGGUCGAAGUAGAAUGUCAAUUCAGUGGGCCCAUGGAAAUGUUAGUGCUGGACAAUCUUUAUUGAGCUCUCGUGGGCUGUGGGCCUACUUUUAGGAGCUACAAUUUUACGCCGACCUAUUAUCCAUUUUCCGCCAAAUUUUUUUUGGUAUUGAGAAAUAAAAAAUCAUGUACCGAAUCACGAUUCAGUAAUAUAUUAUCAUCGUUUGGAUUUCAUAUAUUUACUUUUGUUAUUAAUGUUUAAUCGAACGGCAAAUGCAGUUUUCGACAUCAACAAACUAAGCCACUUGCGACCUCCCCGCGUGUAAGGAUCACCUAUUGUUUAAAUACAAACAUUUAACUAAAAUUUCACUAUUCAUAAAUGGAGGAUAACUCAAAAUUUGGUAGGGGUGUUGAUAAAAAUUCGAAACAGACCACCAAAAUUAAGGGUGGCAGUGCGAAUUGGGUUAUUCGGUUUAACUAAAUUCGUAAUCAAAUUCAUUCCACCGAAAAUUGAAUUUAAGUCCCAAUUCGAUUUUAAAUUCAAAAUCGAUAGGAAAAUUUGUCAUGCAUUCAAAUUCGGUGAAUUCAGUCGAAUUUGGUAUUAGAUCAAAUUCAAAACAAAACUAAAUUCGUCCAUUAAAUUGGGUAUUUCGGGUAUUUGAAUGUACUAAUAUACCCAGAGACAGUACUAGUAAUCAGCCAAUAGGAAGACAGUGGGAGGAACAGAAAAAUACCUAACUCAUUCGGAAAUCUUAUCACUUUUAGUAGUUGCAUGUAUGGGGGAAAAGAAAGGAACUUUAGUUGUUAUUUGCAAACCUUAUGUAGGCCACCACCCUCCACGUCAUUACCCUUACAAAAAAGAAACUAAAGAUAACCCUCAAAAUAUGGCAAUGGAUGGCCCAACUAGGAUUUGCUAGCUAGCUAGUUGUUGAGACCCAACCCAUAUUCUUUUUUCGGUUCGAGACGAGCCGCAACGAAGUCAGGUUUUUAUAGAUGGUUUUUAGAAUUUUAAAAGAGCUCGUGAUAUAUACGAUAGAAAUAUUUGACUGACAUAAGAUGAGUUAAAUAUAUCUUCACAUGACAUCGUAUGUUGACGUGACAUGCUGGUUCGACCCUAAUGAUCGUAAAGACUUAUUUGUUAAGUUGAUUAUAGGUGUGACGAUGAUGAGGUUAACCAAAUGUUUUGUAGUCUAGUAUAUGACUCAAAGUUAUAACAUACGUAUGGGAGAAAAAUGGAUGUUUUUCAAUGAUUAAACUCCUUGUCGAAUCAAAUUAAGUGUUAACUCUAGUCAAUUGUCCAUAUCGAACCGAAUUGUUUAACCGAAUUCAGGGCUCUCUAGCCAUGGCAAGCUUAUGCCUGAGUCAAGAUUAUGAAGAAAACCCUUCAAAAAAUGUUCGACAUUUUACUGAUUUUACAAAUGCCAAACAUUCCCUUAUCAUCUAAAAAACCCAACCCAUUAAACCGAGAAAUAAAACCCCAAAACCCAAAAGAAAAAAAAAGAAAAUAGACGUGGGAGUAAAAAGUAACAAAAAGAGAUAAUUACGCUAAUAUAAUUCGAUUAAAAUAUUAAUUAAUUAAUGACUAAUCCCAAUUCCCCAAACGAUCCCUCCUCGAUUCCACCGCCGCCGUAAACAAAAACAUACCGCCCUUCGGCGCAUGUUAGCCCACCACCACCGCCGCUCAGCUCAACAACAAUACACAACGAGCUUGCCCGUUAGCCCACCACCACCGCCGCUCAGCUCAACAACAAUAAACAACGAGUUUGCCCGUUUUGCCCUUCGCUUCUUUCCAAAGUUUCUCAAUUCCCUUCCCAGUCAACAUCCGAGUCUUCCGGGUCGGGCAGCUUAUUCAAGUCAACCCGCUCCACGAACGACUUCAGCUCCACCGCCGCCUCGAUCUCCGACUUCCCCUCACACUCGCCGCGGUGGCGGCGGCACCGGUGGUNNCCCCCCCCCCCCCCUCCCCGCCCCGCCUCUCUGCUUCUUCUGCGCCGCCGCCGUCGAUUUAUCGUCCACCUCCAUCAAAUUUUUGUUUUUUUCGAGAAAUUCAAGGACCCUUUUAGAUCUAAGCAAGGAAUUUAAUUAGGAGAUGGAUGGAAGAAUUAGGACUCCAAGGAAUUUGGGAGGUCGGAGGAGGAGGUGUUUGUUCAUGUUAGCCAGCUGGGGAGAAAGAAACAGCAGCCAGCCAACACGUCAAUGGAGUUUUUGUUGGAAUUAAAAAGAAGACUCAGAAGGAUAAAUAGGAAGCUGGGGGAAUUAAAUGAGGGGAGAAAUUUUUAGAAGGAUGAGAAGAAAUCCAAAUCCCCCGACAUAAUCUCUGUGUAGAGAAGAGUGACUGAGAAAACAGAGCUUGCUCUGGUUUUCUUAUGUUAUCUUUUUCCUCCAUUUUUGGUUUAAUAGCUAAAGAUUAAAGAAAAGUUUAGGUUAAAAAGAAAAGAUCCAAUCUUUGGUGCAUGCCGACUUCGAGG
Molecule: long non-coding RNA, 2852 nt
Filed under: Linum usitatissimum (flax)
Lineage: Eukaryota; Viridiplantae; Streptophyta; Magnoliopsida; Malpighiales; Linaceae
Description: long non-coding RNA (LUSI_LNC005845)
Source: RNAcentral